Long non-coding RNA from Panonychus citri (citrus red mite), 4487 nucleotides. RefSeq lists it as uncharacterized. The record is from RefSeq and is a predicted model, not a curated record. The transcript has 6 exons. NCBI's taxonomy places the organism in Eukaryota, Metazoa, Arthropoda, Arachnida, Trombidiformes, Tetranychidae.
CUUCUCACUCGUCUCUUUCAUCAUCCCGUCAAUAUUUAUUAAAUACAAAGCCGGUUACGCAAAAAAAAAAUAUAUUGAGAAUUUAAUAUUAGUCUUUCGUUUUUCUCUUUCUCUCAUCAUCUUUGUCUCCCUCAGCAACUUUUCUCUCUCCCACUCUCUCUCUCUCUCUCACUCACUUACUCUCUCCUGGUCUCACAGACACAGACAUUUUUUUCCAAGCUAAAUCCAGUUUCCAUUCAUGUUCAUAUGUCUCGAGUAGCCAACGAGUCAACGUUUUUCCUUUCCUUGUAUUAAUAACAUCACCAUCAACAUUAUCAUUAUUGUUAUGUAACAAUUUGUUACAACCAUAAUAAUAAUAAUAACUAUCAUUAUUAUCGUUAUCAACAUCCCAAUUAUCAUCACCCAGUGUCACCAAAGGGUUAAACAACAACAUCAACAACAACAAAUGAUUUAUCAAACCUCGUAAAGGAUUCAAACACAAUAAUCAAAAUGAUGUUCAUACAACAAAAACAAACAAACAACAACAACAAAUCAAUCAAGUUGAUCAUCAGGAAGCAACAAUUGUUUCAAUUCAUUUAUCGUUUGUAUAUUCAAAACAAACAAUUAACGUAAAUGAUUAAUAAUAAUGAUGGUGAUCCAUUUAAUGAGUUAUGGGAGUCGAUGAAGAGAAGCAAGAAAAUGUUUUAUAUUAAUAAUAAUAUGAAACAGUUGGAUAACAAUCAAGAAGAUUAAAUUAAUUUGUUUUCUAAUCAAAUAUAACAGUAAAUGGUUUCAUUAUUAUCCUCAUCUCAUCGUUAAACAAUAUUAGUUUGGAAACUUAAUAGAGUGAAACUAAUAAUCACUUCUUGCCUUGUUCCAUCAUCAUCAUCACCACCACCACCUCUUUCCUCCACAAACGCCUCCUCUCACUAUGAUCACUCAGUGUUUCCACUCUCCUCCUCCUCCUCCCACCAACAUCAUUUUUCAUUCAAGUCACUUUUACACCCAAUGUCUUUUUUCAAGUUACUCUCUCUCUCUCUCUCCCUCUCUCAAUCUUUGUGAUAGUAUUUUGUUUACUCAAUUGCCCAAUAGCUGAUUAACCUUACACAUACUUUGACAAUCGGAUUAAGGAUUGACUUUAAAUGACAACAAUCUUCUGUCAACUCAUGAAGAAAGUACAAAGUGGACUUUACAUAUUGACUAUUCAAGGAUCAUGAUGAAGACAUAAAAGACUGGUUAUCAUUUCUUGUUAUCUUGUCAACUAAUAUUUCUACUAUUACUUACUAUUCAUUGUCAUCUUUAUCUUCAUUACCAUCAGAAGCAGCUCCUGUUUUCCAUCAUUAUCAUCAUCAUGAGGAUUUUUAUUUCAAUAUCUGAUUCAAUGUCCACCUCAACCCAUAAGAGGAAAUUCUCAUCUUUCCAAUUCAAUCUCUUCUACAGGGAACAUAGAAAGUGAGAAAAAGAAUGUGCCUAAAGGAUGUCACCUCAUCUUCCACCUUCCUUGUCAUCUUCAUCUUUCUCAUUUCUCUCUAGCUGUGUAACACUUUCAUCAUCAAUUAAUAAUAAUCCAAAGUAAAUACACUUAAUCAUUAUGGUGAUUAGCGUGAUAAUCAACCAUAACUUGAUAGGAACAAUUAAUCAAUCAAAUAUUUCUGUAUAAAUUUUAAUCAUCAUGAAAAGGAUAAGUGAUUUGGACCAUUCAGACAAUUGGAUUAACUAAUUGUUUCAAUCUCAGAAGGGUGAAAACUAAUCAACAGGUUAGUAACGUUGGUUGGUUUUGAUGGUAAACCUUUGACAAAAUAAGUUUUCAUCAGUUACCUGGAUAUUGAAUAUAAACAACAAAAUGGAUGAACUAAAAGAUGACUUGGAAGAGAAGAGUGAGAGAGAGAGAGAGAGGUGAAAGGUGACACUGAGGACCCACUAAAAUGAAUGAAGAUACAAGGUAAAUAGAGAUCUAUGUUAUAAAGAAAUCAUAUAAAGAGAUAAAUGUUUGAUUUUCACAAGAAAAAGUAAUUCUCUUGCAAAAGGAGAACAUGUAAUAACUGUUAUAUUAUUAUUUCAUUUUUUUCCUCACCUUUAUCCUCAUCUUCAUCCUCUACUUGGAACUUCAACUUCGUCUAACUUUGUAUUAUAACUAACAGAGAGUUGACACUUUCCCUUCAAGCUUAAACUAAGUAUUUUCACCCCUGAUUGUUGACAAGUUGACAUGAUGCAAGUUUUACCUGUAAAAUUCAUGAUAUCCUGGAAAUUUCUCUCUUCCCCUUUUCUCUAUCCUGUUUUUUUUUAUCUUUUGCAAAAAGAAAUGAAAAUUUUUACUCCGAUUAUUUUGCUUAUAUGUUUGUUUCUAUCAAGGAAGUACAUAUUGAAUCUCCGAUCCUUAAUAGAAACAUUCACUUCUCUCUCUCUCUCUCACUUUUCAUGGUAAACUUUGCAUAUUUACACCGAGAAAAUAACCAGAGAAAAACUUAUUUUCUGCCAAAGAAAAACAUAAACAAUGUUACUGCAUAAAUCAAAUGUAAAAAUAACAAGAUUUAUGCAAAAACGAGUAACAUCAUCAUCUGAUUAUUUGGUUUUCGGGUUUACCAAAUGUAUAUAUUGUAAAUGUUGUUAUUUGAAAGGGUGAUGGUGCGAUGAUGAUACAAUAUUAUACACUGAGGGUGGAAAUUUCUUUGGUGAGAAAAUUGAAUUUUGAAUAGAAAGAGAGAGAGAGAGAGAGAAGGAGAGAAGUUAGUAGGAAAAGAGGCGAAAAUUUUGUCAAGAUAAAGAUGAAAGAGUAACAUGAUAGUCAUGAUAGAAACUGGACUGAGCACUUGGAAGGUUUUACCUGUGUAAGCCUUUCAAAUUUAGACAAUUGUAAGUUGAUGGUUGAAAAGAUAAAGGGAGAAGAUGAUGAUGAUGAAGAGAAAAAGUAACGGUAAAAAAAGAAGUUUGAACAAUAAGCAGGUAAAAUUAUCGAUUUUUGUCCUUUCGUUAUUUUCCAUCAUGAUGAUGUUCUUGAAUGAUGAGGUGAAAGUAGAAAUCGAUUUGUGACAUUCUCUAUCUCUCUCUCUUUCUUUCUUUCUUUUCCUUUCUCUCCUUUAUUUUUCUUCUUUUUUCAUCUUUCAAUGAUGAUGAUGAGAAAGUAAAGCUCACAUGAUGAUGAAUCGAUUGACAAACAAUCGAAAGAUUAACAAAGAAUCAGUCAAGGGCGGAAGGACAAUUGAGAAAUGAUGGUGAUGAUGAUGAUGAUGGUAUCACCAUCAUCAUGGAACUUGUGAUGAUUAUGAUGACGAUGAGGAGAAGAAAAAAAAACUCGAGUUGAUAGAAAGAGAUUGGAAAGAAAAAAAUUUUUAAAGAUGAAGAAAUGAAGAGGUGAAAAAUUGAAGUGACCCUCUUACAGAAUCAUGAUGGUGGUGAAGAGGUGGAGGUGAAGGUGGAUAAGAAGAUGAUGAUGAUGAUAACAUGUUCGGAAUAGUUUUUUAUCAUCUUCUUCCUGGAGAUUAUGAGUUAAAGUCUUUUAUUAUCUAGUAAAUGUAAUAUCAGACAAUUUGAAUGACCCAGGAUAGUUUUCAGCUCAUUCAUUUUUUUUCCUUCUCCUCCUCUAUUUUCAUGAUGAAAUUGAAAAGAUAACUCAAGUUAUCUUUUGAAUCUUCAUCAUGCUUAUCAUCAUCUUCAUCUUUAGAUUGUAAUAUAUAUAAAGGUACAUCUUCUCACUUCAAUUCUUGAUUCUUAUCGAUUCGAUUUUUCAGUUUUUUUCUUUCUUUUUUUUCAUUUCUCAUCAAAAAUGAUCAUGAUGAUUAUCUUCAUGAUGAUGAUUAAAGGAAGAUGAUUGUGUAGAUAUAUACUGAGCACGAAAGUCUUUGCUGCUCAAUCGUAAGUACAAGUUAUCAAUGCUUUAUCAUUUUCAUCUCUUUUUUUUAUUUCCAAAAGAAGAGAAGAAAAAAAUUACUUCAUCUUUUCAACAGAAACUCAAUUUCUCAGCAGAAAAAGUUAUUACUCUUGAACUUUCAAUCUACCUGAAAGUUAUGUUGUAUGAGAAAUUCAAUCAAAAUGAAGAAGAAGUAAAAAGUUUUCGUACAGAAAAAAUAAGAAAAAUGUUUCCAUGUUCAAUCGUAAUUAUUAUUUAUCAUCAGGCGAAAACUUUGUCAAAAAGAUUGUGCAAAAAUCAAAAAUUCUGGAACUUUUUGUGCCUUCUGUUGGGUGGCGCCAUCUCGUAGAGUUCAGCUCAACUUUGGUGGUGAAAAAUCUCAUGAUAAGUUAAACAUUUAGCGGAAUUAUUUCUCAGGUGAUGAUAAAAUUAAGAUGAUUCAGUUCUAAGGAUGAAAAAAAAGUGAUUGAUCUUAUGAAUUAUUAUUAUUAUUUUUCUUUUCAUAGGAUAACAAUUGAUUCCAUAAUCAUAUUGACCAUAAGUUUCUGAUGAUGAAAAUUUUCAUUUCGAUUAACUUUUUCUUUCUUUAUGUGUGUUGGUCUUAUUUCCUCCCCUGAAGAUAUUGAUGAUUUCACUUUUCUUUUCAUCAUCUUCAAGUAUA